GACGAACGCUGGCGGCGUGCCUAACACAUGCAAGUCGAACGGGGUUGAGCCCUUCGGGACUCAACUUAGUGGCGAACGGGUGAGUAACGCGUGAGAAACCUGCCUUUCAGUGGGGGACAACAGUUGGAAACGACUGCUAAUACCGCAUAACGUAUUUAGGGGGCAUCCCUUGAAUACCAAAGCUUUAUGUGCUGAAAGAUGGUCUCGCGUCUGAUUAGCUAGAUGGCGGGGUAACGGCCCACCAUGGCGACGAUCAGUAGCCGGUCUGAGAGGAUGAACGGCCACAUUGGGACUGAGAUACGGCCCAGACUCCUACGGGAGGCAGCAGUGGGGAAUAUUGGGCAAUGGGGGAAACCCUGACCCAGCAACGCCGCGUGAAGGAAGAAGGCCUCGGUUGUAACGUUCUUUUAGUCAGGGACGAAGGACGUGACGGUACCUGCAGAAAAAGACAACGGCGUAACUACGUG
Molecule: ribosomal RNA, 467 nt
Filed under: uncultured bacterium
Lineage: Bacteria
Description: bacterial SSU rRNA
Rfam family: Bacterial small subunit ribosomal RNA
Source: RNAcentral